GACGAAGGGUGCAAACGUUGCUCGGAAUUAUUGGGCGUAAAGCGCACGUAGGCGGCUAUCUAAGUCGGAUGUGAAAUCCCUCGGCUUAACCAAGGAAGUGCACCCGAAACUGGAUAGCUUGAGUACAGAAGAGGAUCGCGGAAUUCCCGGUGUAGAGGUGAAAUUCGUAGAUAUCGGGAGGAACACCAGUGGCGAAGGCGGCGAUCUGGGCUGAUACUGACGCUGAGGUGCGAAAGCGUGGGGAGCAAACAGG
Molecule: ribosomal RNA, 253 nt
Filed under: uncultured bacterium
Lineage: Bacteria
Description: partial 16S ribosomal RNA
Rfam family: Bacterial small subunit ribosomal RNA
Source: RNAcentral